This 229-nucleotide ribosomal RNA is filed under the name uncultured bacterium. Its description in RNAcentral is "partial 16S ribosomal RNA". It matches the Rfam family "Bacterial small subunit ribosomal RNA", at positions 103 to 334 of the family's 1533-position model. The record is from RNAcentral.
CGGGUGAGUAACGCGUGGAUAACCUGCCUCACACUGGGGGAUAACAGUUAGAAAUGACUGCUAAUACCGCAUAAGCGCACAGUACCGCAUGGUACAGUGUGAAAAACUCCGGUGGUGUGAGAUGGAUCCGCGUCUGAUUAGCCAGUUGGCGGGUAACGGCCCACCAAAGCGACGAUCAGUAGCGACCUGAGAGGGUGACCGGCCACAUUGGGACUGAGACACGGCCCAA